RNAcentral lists this ribosomal RNA (133 nucleotides) under uncultured bacterium. RNAcentral describes it as "partial 16S ribosomal RNA". The record is from RNAcentral.
UAGGUUACGUCAAGACCCGCGGGUAUUAACCGUAGGCUUUUCUUCUCUACUGAAAGUGCUUUACAACCCGCAGGCCUUCUUCACACACGCGGCAUUGCUGGAUCAGGGUUGCCCCCAUUGUCCAAUAUUCCCC